This 254-nucleotide ribosomal RNA is filed under the name uncultured bacterium. RNAcentral describes it as "partial 16S ribosomal RNA". It matches the Rfam family "Bacterial small subunit ribosomal RNA", at positions 524 to 776 of the family's 1533-position model. The record is from RNAcentral.
UACAGAGGUCCCAAGCGUUGUUCGGAUUCACUGGGCGUAAAGGGUGCGCAGGUGGUUUGGCAAGUUUGACGUGAAAGCCCCGGGCUUAACCCGGGAAUGGCGUUGAAAACUGCUUGAACUGGAGGGUUGGAGGGGGGACUGGAAUUCUUGGUGUAGCAGUGAAAUGCGUAGAUAUCAAGAGGAACACCAGUGGCGAAGGCGAGUCCCUGGACAAUACCUGACACUGAGGCACGAAAGCCAAGGGAGCAAACAGG